Molecule: ribosomal RNA, 245 nt
Filed under: uncultured bacterium
Lineage: Bacteria
Description: partial 16S ribosomal RNA
Rfam family: Bacterial small subunit ribosomal RNA
Source: RNAcentral
CGGUUCCUACGGGGCGCAGCAGUGGGGAAUAUUGCACAAUGGGGGAAACCCUGAUGCAGCGACGCCGCGUGAGUGAAGAAGUAUCUCGGUAUGUAAAGCUCUAUCAGCAGGGAAGAAAAUGACGGUACCUGACUAAGAAGCCCCGGCUAACUACGUGCCAGCAGCCGCGGUAAUACGUAGGGGGCAAGCGUUAUCCGGAUUUACUGGGUGGAAAGGGAGCGUAGACGGCGCUGAAAGUCCGGAGU